Molecule: ribosomal RNA, 3015 nt
Filed under: Triticum aestivum (bread wheat)
Lineage: Eukaryota; Viridiplantae; Streptophyta; Magnoliopsida; Poales; Poaceae
Description: partial small subunit ribosomal RNA
Source: RNAcentral
AUGGAAGAGGUGGAAAAUACCAGCAAGCGCAAAGCACCCGAGCUGGAUUCCGAGGACAGUUCCGCUGCCGCUGUUAUGAAUGGACAGCAGUCGCUGCCUGGCUCGGCUGCCAAGCGUCAGAACCUCGCCCGGUCGUGCAUCCAUGAGGUUGCUGCCCCCAAUGGCUACGAUUUGUCUAAGGACGAGGCCGUACAUGGGACCCUUUCAAACCCUGUGUUUAAUGGGAACAUGGCCAAGACAUACCCGUUUCAGCUCGACCCCUUCCAGACUGUCUCGGUCGCCUGCUUGGAGAGGAACGAAUCUGUCUUGGUCUCAGCUCACACCUCUGCGGGGAAGACAGCCAUUGCUGAGUACGCCAUUGCAAUGUCGUUUAGAGACAAGCAGAGGGUUAUAUAUACCUCUCCACUGAAGGCUCUGAGCAAUCAGAAGUACCGUGAGCUUAGUCAGGAGUUUUCUGAUGUUGGUUUGAUGACUGGUGAUGUCACGCUUCAGCCAAAUGCUACUUGCCUGGUCAUGACGACGGAAAUCCUGAGGGCAAUGCUCUAUAGGGGUUCUGAGGUGAUCAAGGAAGUUGGUUGGGUUAUAUUUGAUGAGAUCCACUACAUGAAGGACCGGGAGAGAGGCGUUGUGUGGGAAGAGAGUAUAGUUUUCCUUCCACCUGCCAUCAAGAUGGUCUUUCUUUCUGCCACCAUGUCGAAUGCAACUGAGUUUGCUGAGUGGAUAUGCAAUCUGCACAAGCAGCCUUGUCAUGUGGUGUACACAGACUUCAGGCCGACACCGUUACAGCACUACGUGUUCCCAAUAGGUGGGUCUGGUCUCUACCUCGUAGUAGAUGAAAAUGGUCAGUUCAGGGAGGAUAAUUUUCUGAAGCUGCAAGACACAUUUGCGAAGCAACCUAGUCAACUAGAUGGGAAGAAGAAUGGUGGGCCUAAAGCCAGUGGUCGAAUUGCAAAAGGCGGGAAUGCUUCUGGAACUUCUGACAUAUACAGAAUUGUCAAGAUGAUUAUGGAGCGCAAGUUUCAACCAGUCAUUAUUUUCAGCUUUAGUAGAAGGGAAUGUGAGCACCAUGCGAUGUCGAUGUCAAAACUUGAUUUCAACACUGAAGAAGAAAAGGAUAGCAUUGAACAGGUUUUCCGUAGUGCUAUUUUCUGUUUAAGCGAGGAAGAUAGAGGUUUACCUGCUAUAGAGUUGAUGUUGCCUCUUCUUAAACGAGGUAUUGCAGUACACCAUUCUGGACUGCUUCCAAUAAUUAAGGAGCUGGUGGAAUUGCUCUUCCAAGAAGGUCUUGUGAAAGCUCUCUUUGCUACUGAGACGUUUGCCAUGGGACUGAACAUGCCUGCAAAAACAGUUGUCUUUACAUCUGUCAAAAAAUGGGAUGGUGAUAGUAACCGUUUUAUUGGUUCUGGAGAAUAUAUACAGAUGAGUGGAAGAGCCGGUCGGCGUGGGAAGGAUGAACGUGGCAUUUGUGUUAUAAUGAUAGAUGAAAAGAUGGAAAUGAGUGUUAUCAAGGACAUGGUGUUAGGUAAACCAGCACCUCUCAUCAGUACUUUCCGACUGAGCUACUACACCAUUCUGAAUUUGCUGAGUCGCGCGGAGGGCCAAUUUACUGCUGAACAUGUGAUCCGGAAUUCAUUCCACCAGUUUCAGUAUGAAAAGGCAUUACCUGAAGUGGUUCAGAAGAUUACAAGGUUGGAAAAUGAAGCUAGCUUGCUGGGCUCUUCGGGAGAGAAUGAUCUUGCUGAAUAUCACAAAUUGGGGCUUGAUAUAUCUGAACUUGAGAAGAAAAUCAUGUCUGAGAUGAUUAGACCAGAGAGAGCUUUGUUAUAUUUGGUUCCUGGAAGGCUGGUUAAGGUGAGGGAUGGUUCAACAGACUGGGGAUGGGGUGUGGUUGUAAAUGUUGUAAAGAAACCUUCAACAUCUAGUAGUCUCCCCCCUGCAUUAAGUGCAUCCCGCAAUAAUAACUAUAUAGUGGAUACCUUGCUUCAUUGUUCUUCUAGUUCGAGUGAGAGCGGAUUGCAUUCGAAGCCAUGCCCACCUCGCCCUGGGGAGAAGGGAGAAAUGCAUGUGGUGCCUGUACCAUUACCUUUAGUAUGUGGUCUAAGCAGCAUUAGAAUCAGCAUUCCAUCUGAUCUGCGACCACCUGAAGCAAGACAAAACAUACUUUUUGCAGUUCAAGAACUAGGAAAGCGUUACCCCCAAGGGCUUCCAAAGCUACAUCCAAUUACGGACAUGGGUAUUGAAGAACCUGAAUUAGUUGACCUGGUUCAUAAACUUGAGGAUCUUGAGCAGAAACUAUGUUCUCACCCACUUCAUAAGUCUGAUCAAAGUGAGCAGCAACUGUCAUGGUACCAAAGAAAAGCUGAACUGAAUCAUGAAAUUCAGCAACUAAAGUCAAAGAUGCGGGAUUCACAGCUACAAAAAUUUAGGGAUGAACUGAAAAACCGGUCUCGUGUUCUGAAGAUGCUGGGUCAUAUUGAUGCGGAUGGUGUUCUCCAGUUAAAGGGGCGUGCUGCCUGUUUGAUAGACACUGGGGAUGAGCUGCUUAUCACUGAGCUUAUGUUUAAUGGUACAUUUAAUGAUCUUGAUCAUCAUCAAGUUGCUUCCGUUGUUAGCUGCUUUGUUCCGUGUGAGAAGUCAAGUGAGCAAAUACGCCUGAGAAAUGAGCUUUCUAAACCAAUGAUGCAGCUCCAGGAGGCUGCAAGAAAAAUAGCUGAGGUACAACGGGAAUGCAAAUUGGACAUCAAUGUUGAGGAAUAUGUUGAAUCAACUUGUAAACCCUACCUGAUGGACGUCAUAUACUGCUGGUCAAAGGGCGCCACAUUCGGAGAGGUGACAGAAAUGACUGACAUUUUUGAAGGAAGCAUCAUACGGCUAGUUAGGAGGCUGGAUGAAUUUCUGAAUCAGCUAAAAGCCGCUGCUGAAGCUGUUGGGGAGGUCAACCUUGAGAACAAGUUUGGAUCGGCGAGUGAGAGCUUACGCCGUGGCAUCAUGUUUGCUAACUCAUUGUAUCUGUGA